Molecule: non-coding RNA, 421 nt
Organism: Paramuricea clavata
Lineage: Eukaryota; Metazoa; Cnidaria; Anthozoa; Malacalcyonacea; Plexauridae
Source: the annotation of a GenBank genome assembly
AACAAGCAAGCGAGAAAAAUUAAGGAGAAAAUAAGAGGGUAGGAACAUUGUGGGCGUUUCGUGGGCGUGUCAUCGUUCUGGGCGAAUCGGCUUUCGCAAUCUUGUAUCACAUGACUAAUUCAAAUCGUCAUAGGCGGGAAGCAGCAUUACGUCAUCCCUACGUCAAAUAAAACGUUAUUAAAACGCGUUGUGGAUACGUUUGUGCCAUAUAUGGAAGUUAUGGAUACGUUUGUGCCAUAUAUGGAAGUGUCACUGCAUCCAGCUUAUGACAACGAUGUUCCUACCCUCUUAUUUCUCCUUAAUUUUUCUCGCUUGCUUAUUAUUCUGGCAGGAGGGGCGGCAAUGCCGUGCAGCAUGUAGAUUGGGACGAGUAAACAUGGCGAUGGCAGACGAAGCAGAUAUGGAAUUUGUUUCGAAUAUU